GGGGAUAUAGCUCCAUGGUAAGAGUGCCUGCCCAGCAUGUACAAGUAAGUACCUGGGUUCAAUCCCCAGUACUUCCA
This 77-nucleotide transfer RNA is filed under the name Marmota monax (woodchuck). It matches the Rfam family "tRNA". Rfam says of the family: Transfer RNA (tRNA) molecules are approximately 80 nucleotides in length. Their secondary structure includes four short double-helical elements and three loops (D, anti-codon, and T loops). Further hydrogen bonds mediate the characteristic L-shaped molecular structure. tRNAs have two regions of fundamental functional importance: the anti-codon, which is responsible for specific mRNA codon recognition, and the 3' end, to which the tRNAs corresponding amino acid is attached (by aminoacyl-tRNA synthetases). tRNAs cope with the degeneracy of the genetic code in two manners: having more than one tRNA (with a specific anti-codon) for a particular amino acid; and 'wobble' base-pairing, i.e. permitting non-standard base-pairing at the 3rd anti-codon position. Lineage: Eukaryota; Metazoa; Chordata; Mammalia; Rodentia; Sciuridae. The record is from Rfam by way of RNAcentral.